AUGGCCAAUGCUGUUGUUCCGUUGAAUUUUAAUGCGUUCCUUGAGAAAGCUAAGUUGAAAGAUGAUGGUAGCAAUUACACGGACUGGGUCCGUAACUUGAGGAUUAUCCUCAUUGCUGCACAGAAGAAUUACGUCCUAGAAGCACCGCUAGGUGCCAGGCCUCCUGCAAGAGCGACGCCAGAAGUUAUGAACGUCUGGCAGAGCAAAGCUGAUGACUACUCAAUAGUUCAGUGUGCCAUGCUUUACGGCUUAGAACCGGGUCUUCAACGACGUUUUGAACGUCAUGGAGCAUAUGAGAUGUUCCAGGAGUUGAAGUUAAUAUUUCAAGCAAAUGCCCGGAUUGAGAGAUAUGAAGUCUCCAAUGUGUUCUAUAGCUGCAAGAUGGAAGAGAAUAGUUCUGUCAGUGAGCAUAUACUCAGAAUGUCUGGGUAUAAUAAUCACUUGAUUCAACUGGGAGUUCAACUUCCGGAUGAUUGCGUCAUUGACAGAAUUCUUCAAUCACUGCCACCAAGCUACAAGAGCUUCAUGAUGAACUAUAACAUGCAAGGGAUGGAUAAGACAAUUCCCGAGCUCUUCGCAAUGCUAAAGGCAGCAGAGGUAGAAAUCAAAAAGGAGCAUCAAGUGUUGAUGGUCAGUAAAACCACUAGUUUCAGGAAAAAGGGCAAAGGGAAGAAGAAAGGGAACUUCAAAAAGAACAGCAAGCAAGUUGCUGUUCAGGAGAAGAAAUCCAAGUCUGGACCUAAGCCUGAAACUGAGUGCUUCUACUGUAAGCAGACUGGUCACUGGAAGCGGAACUGCCCCAAGUAUUUGGCGAAUAAGAAGGAUGGCAAGGUUAACAAAGGGCUACGGAUUAAGCGAAGAUUGGCUAAGGACGAGGUGACGAUGCGCGUGGGAAAUGGUUCCAAAGUCGAUGUGAUCGCCUUCGGCACGCUACCUCUACAUCUACCUUCGGGAUUAGUUUUAGACCUAAAUAAUUGUUAUUUGGUGCCAGCAUUGAGCAUGAACAUUAUAUCUGGAUCUUUUUUAAUAUGA
This 1032-nucleotide ribosomal RNA is filed under the name Triticum aestivum (bread wheat). RNAcentral describes it as "partial small subunit ribosomal RNA". Lineage: Eukaryota; Viridiplantae; Streptophyta; Magnoliopsida; Poales; Poaceae. The record is from RNAcentral.